UAUUUUUAUAAAGGAAACUAAUUUAAACGGACGAAGAUAUCAGCAGGUAUUUGGGACAUUUUUAAGGCUUUUAAUAAUUGAAAUACAUUGUUGUUUGUUUUCUUAUUGAUUAAUUUAGUGUUUUUUUCAUUUUAAUAGUUGACUAUUCACAAUUGUAAUGGAGCGUUGAAAGACUGCUCCAACUGUUUGUUCAUCAGUCACAAAAUCAAGUCGUGUCUUUUUGUAACAACCAUUUAUUUGUGAACAAGGUGUAAUUGUUUUACAACUGAACCAACGUGUCGGUUCUGAAUACUAUAAAGUCAAAUGCGAAAUGGAAAGAUUGUUGGACUUUGGUGGUCAAAAUAUUUACCACAUGACGCACCAACUGUUUAUAACAAGAAGGGGUACAUUUGUUCUGAUAUUCAAUGGCAGCAAAGGUAUUCAUGAAGAAAUAUCAGACUACAUUGGACUUCCUAGCUGUAAACUAUCACAGGAAUGCAGCAGCUAUGUUACUAUAAGUGAGUGAGAAAAAAAGUUGUCUAUGUAAAUACAAAUAGGACAUGAAUAGUCUGACGAAAGGUGUUUCAGCUGUUUUUUUAUAAAUGGAAAGUAGAUAUAACAUUAAGACUUUUAUUCAUUUGUAAUACAUUUUAUGUUGGGUUUUUUUAAUUGACUUUGUUUUGUGUCUUAUCUUUUUUUUUUUUUAAUUUUAAUGGUAGAAUUUUUUAUCACAUUUAAAGAUUGCUCCGUUCGUCCAUCACAACAACUAGUUGUGUCUUUUUGCAACAAUCAUUUAUUUGUGAACAAGGUGCAAUUGUUUUACAGCUGAACCAACUUGUCAGUUUUGAAUACUAUAAAGCCAAAUGCGAAAUGAAAAGAUUAUGGGACUUUGGUGGUCAAAAAAUGUAUCACAUGACGCACCAACUGUUUAUUACAAGUAGGGGUACAUUUGUGCUAAUCUUCAAUGGCGGCAAAGGUAUUCAUGAUGAAAUAUCAGACUACAUAGACUUCCUAGCUGUAACGAUCAAUGAAAUACAGCAGUCAUGUUACCCAUUAGUAAAUAAGAAAACAAGUCAUCUUUUUACAGAAAAAUAAGACAUUUUAUAAGGAAGGUGUUUGAGCAGUUUACCACAAAACCUGACGAUUAUUUUAUAAAGGAAACUUAUUUCAACAGACGAAGAUAUCAGCAGUUAUUUGGGACAUUUUAAAGGCUUUUCAUCAUGGCAAUACAUUGUGGUUUGUUUUCAUAUUGAUUUAUUUUUUUUAAUUUUUUAAUUUUAAUAGUUGACUUUUCACAUUGUAAUGGAGCGUUGAAAGACUGCUCCAUCCGUUUGUUCAUCGAUUGUGGGACUUUGGUGGUCAAAAAAUGUAUCACAUGACGCGCCAACUGUUUAUGACAAGUAGGGGUACAUUUGUGCUAAUCUUCAAUGGCGGCAAAGGUAUUCAUGAAGACAUAUCAGACUACACAGACUUCCUAGCUGUAACGAUCAACGAAAUACAGCAGUCAUGUUACCCAUUAGUAAAUAAGAAAACAAGUCAUCUUUUUACAGAAAAUAAGACAUUUUAUAAGGAAGAUGUUCGAGUAGCUUCAACACAAAACCUGACGAUUAUUUUAUAAAGGAAACUUUUUCAACAGACGAAGAUAUCAGCAGUUAUUUGGGACAUUUUUACGGCUUUUCAUCAUGGCAAUACAUUGUUGUUUGUUUUCAUAUUAAUUAAUUUUUUUUUUUUUAUUUAUUUUAAUAGUUGACUUUUCACAUUGUAAUGGAGCGUUGAAAGACUGCUCCAUUCGUUUGUUCAUCAGUCACAGCAUCAAGUUGUGUUUUUUGUAACAACCAUUCAACUGUAAACAUGGUGCAAUUGUUUUACAACUGAUCCAACUUUUCCAUUCUGAAUUCAAUAAAGCCAAAUACGAAAUGGAAAGAUUGUGGGACUUUGGUGGUCAAAAUAUUUAUCACAUGACGCAUCAACUGUUUAUUACAAGUAGGGGUACAUUCGUCCUGAUCUUCAAUGGCAGCAAAGGUAUUCAUGAAGAAAUAUCAGACUACAUAGACUUCCUAGCUGUAACGAUCAACGAAAUACAGCAGUCAUGUUACCCAUUAGUAAAUAAGAAAACACGUCAUCUUUUUACAGAAAAAUAAGACAUUUUAUAAGGAAGAAGUUUGAGCAGUUUCACCACAAAAUCUGAUGAUUAUUUUAUAAAGCAAACUUAUUUAAAUAGCCGAACAUAUCAUCAGUUAUUUGGGACAUUUUUAAGGCUUUUAAUAAUUGAUUGAUUGAUUGUUGGUUGCUUAACGUCCAGUGGCAAAUAUUUCAUGCAUAUUCAGGACGAGAACAAGUUCACAAUAAAUACAAUAAGUAGGUUGUUGUAAUAGAGGCCAUCUAGGAUGAUGGUCGGGGAAAUUUGGACUGCCACUGGAAAAUGAGGGUAUAUUGGAUAGGGACAGAAAUGUUGCCUUGCAACAGGCCACCUACGGACCCCUCACAGAGUUGUUGCAAGGGUUCUUAACGUGCAAAGAGCGUGGCACUCUAUUUACACGAGGCAUCGGAUUUAACGUCCCCUUCUGACGGACGUGACUGCAAACUUGAUACAUCCCGCACAGCCAAACGGACGCCCCACUUCAGCAAGCGUUUUACUGCCGGUCGGGAGAAGACCAAGUGACCAUAUUUCUAUACCCCAGUCACCCUUGGGGUCCUUUUAAUAAUUGAAUUACUUUUUGUUUUCUUAUUGAUUAAUUUAGUUUUUUUUCCCCUUCAUUUUAAUAGUUGACUAUUCUCAUUGUAAUGGAGCGUUGAAAGACAGCUACAUUUGUCUGUUCAUCCGUCACAAAAUCAAGUUGUGUCUUUUUGUGACUAACAACCAUUUAAUUGUAAACAUGGUACAAUUGUUUAAUAACUGACCCAACUUGUCUGUCCUGAAUUCAAUAAAGCCACAUACGAAAUGGUCAAAAAAUCACUUGACGCAUCAACUGUU
This 2953-nucleotide long non-coding RNA is filed under the name Mytilus galloprovincialis (Mediterranean mussel). Lineage: Eukaryota; Metazoa; Mollusca; Bivalvia; Mytilida; Mytilidae. The record is from RNAcentral.